This 220-nucleotide long non-coding RNA is filed under the name Trifolium pratense (red clover). RNAcentral describes it as "long non-coding RNA (TPRA_LNC010224)". Lineage: Eukaryota; Viridiplantae; Streptophyta; Magnoliopsida; Fabales; Fabaceae. The record is from RNAcentral.
UUAAGGCGUAAAUCCUAGGGUUUGCUGGAGGUCUUAGUAACUAGAGCUAUUAGUGGAUUUCCUUCCUGGAUUGGUAUCCCCCAGAGUAGGCAGUUGGCUGAACUGGGUUAACAAUUACUUGUGUCAUUUAUUUAUUUUUCUGUCAGUUUUUAUAUGUUAUAUAAGAUGUGCCAACAAUAGCAAACAACAUUGUUCACAAAGUAGUUGUUGGGACAUCUUA